RNAcentral lists this long non-coding RNA (562 nucleotides) under Parus major (Great Tit). RNAcentral describes it as "lncRNA (ENSPMJG00000009321.1)". Lineage: Eukaryota; Metazoa; Chordata; Aves; Passeriformes; Paridae. The record is from RNAcentral.
CUUCAUCUCUGGUUUGGUGCAGUAGCAAAGCAGAGUCAAAAGAUAAACUACUGUAUUUCCAGCAUGACUUUCCCCUGUUCUUUGCCAUCACUAAGGCAAAUAUAUUUUAACCUUCGUUGGUUUUCUUUUUCAGUGAUCAACCAGCACCUGCAGGAAUUUCAGAGAAAGCAAGACAAUAAUUGAUCUGAAACUUUUUGAUUCUGCCUGACAUUAUGCUGUUUGUACAGACACCUGGAGCAGGUGACACAGGAGCGUGUCCAGGAGGAACCUUUCAAAAAUUAACCUGAGAGCAGCUGGAAAAGGCUAGUCUUACACCUUUUCCUGUGAAUGGGACACAGUCAGGAUCCCCACAGUGCCAGUUUAGCACCCAACACUCUUACACUCUAUGUGAUGCCAGGCUUUGACCUUGGUAAAGGCUGUGCUGCCUCUCUGCCUGCUGCAGCUGGCUGGCACCUCUGAGAAGGCUGCCACGUCACACCUUGCUGGAGUCGGGGAGAAUGUGGUGGGUUUGCUCUGGAGGGUGGAGGGUGCAUGAAAAUAUUUUCUGUGGUUUCAGUUUGCA